AGAGCCGCCAAGCCCCAGGUGCCCACACUGAGCGGCAGGGAGUGGGAGAGGGGCAGGGGCAGGAGGAGAGAGCUGCAGAGAGAAAGACUGAGGGUGCAAAACAAAUGCGGAGCCGAGCAGACAUUUCUCAGCCUGUUAAUUUCCUACAGUUCUGUUUUCCAGCCUCAGAAACAAGCUGGUUUCUGCCAGUCCACCCCCUUCCCUCUGACUGCAUUGUGCAGCUGCUGAGCAGAGAGAAGUUGCAGGGAGGAGGGGGUUCCAGAGGAGAAGCGAAGAGACUCAGGUUUUCAUACGAUUUAUCAAAGUACAGGCAAGAUGCAGAGAUGCUUCUGAAGCUGUGACCCCAAAAAGAAGCUCAACUGGGAGAUUUGCAGCCUGGACCAGUCUAACCCUACAGGUCUGGGCUUCAGGAAGAAGGGAACCUGGGGGUGCUGCAGGGAAUACUUUGGAGGAGGCUGUUUCAACGGGCUCAGCAACUCCCUCGGUUUGACCCCUGACACAAGCAUGCCUGCUGAAUCUACACCUGGACCUAAAGACUUGUAGAGUCCUUUCUGGGGCUGGAUGUUCCCACAGGACAAUUACCAGUCAUGCAUACAGAGCUUUGCUGCCCAAGGGGACUUUCUGAGGGCUGAAUAUUAUUUACUUCAACUCUCCUUUGACAAGGCACCUGAGGCCCAGAUGGGGAAAGUCACACAGGACUGUGAUGGGGCCUGAUCGAGAUCUCCUGAAUCUUCCCAGUGCUGCUUGCUGUGCUUUGUGGCCCUUCCUCUGGCUGUAACUGUAAUCCCACCUAUACCUUAGGUUGCACAUGCUCAUACAGCGCUUACCAUGAGCCACCCUCUGAGGCAGGUACUGUUAUGAUUCCCAUUUUACAGCUGGGGAGGCUGAGGCUCAGAGAGGUUAAAUACUUCCCUAAGCUAGUAUGUGGUCGAGCUAGAAUUUGAAACCAGAAUGUCCUGCCCCAGAAUCUAGACUCCUAACCACUGGGCUGUGCUACCUCUCUUCUCUGGAAGCUUCACCUGUACCUGGACACAUUUACCUUCACUUUCCUCUUCUCCUGUCCUUAGCUUUCACCACCACCUUCACAAUUUCUCAUUUCAGGCUAAGCCAGAUAAUCACCCCAGACACAAGGGCAGGCUCAGCACUGCUAUCAAAAUCCCUUUUCCUUUUAUCUUCUCCAUCACCAUCUUAGCCUUAUCGCGUUCACUAUCAUGAUCAACUUCACCAUUUAUAAAGUCUCUAAUUGCAAAUGACUGUGUACCUAUAGACCAAUGCAGAUCUAACCCCUGCCUUGGGAUGGGAGGAUGGGGCUUACAGUCAAACCAAACAGCAGUUUAAGCCACAUAUACUCCUCCCUUUGUAAGUAAAGGUACGAAACCAGAAUGUGGAAGGCAGUCUUCUUCUUAAGAGAUUUUUCUGCAAUAAGAUGGAGGUGGUGAAGGAGAAGUUUCGAACAGCCAAAGAGUGCCUGCUGAGGGAAAUUAAUCAAUGGCCAAGAAGAUUGCUUGUCAUCUUUCAAUAUCUAUAAGAAAUAACGAGCCUCCAGAGAGGGAGCUAGAGCUCCAAGGGAAAAGAAGACCAGUGGGUACUCUGUCCAACUCAUGCCUCUAAGGAGCUACAGGAGAAAGAUGGAGCCAUAGGCAGCUUCCACCCCUUUGGAUGGUGGCCAACACCCAUCUCCCCAGCCACAGUAUCUCUCACAGCCCCUGGGGAAGCCAGAAGCAAGCAACACUGCCCAGGAGUUUUAAAACUGAUUCUUCCCUUAAGCUCAAGUCCCACCCACCUCCCAACCCAGUGAGCUUGCUGGUUGGCUGUCCAUGAGUGUUGGCUGCCAGAUGUGCCAUCAUCCGGCACAGGAUGUACAGGAAAGAGGGCAAUGGCUUCCCGGACCAGAGUCUCCACCCAGAAUUCCAGCCAAGGCCCCAGAGCUCCCAGGACCUGGAGAAUUUGUUCCCCCUGGUUGUGUUUGGAAUUGGCUGGUUUUCUGGGCACCAGGCCCAGCUCAGUUUAAUUUUUGUUUAUUUUUAUGUACAGAUUCUCUUCUGUUUGGGGAUGAGCUUUGUGUAAAUUAUUAUUAUUUAUAUGAUAA
Long non-coding RNA from Homo sapiens (human), 2089 nucleotides. NCBI's taxonomy places the organism in Eukaryota, Metazoa, Chordata, Mammalia, Primates, Hominidae. The record is from Ensembl.